AGGAUGAACGCUGGCGGCGUGCCUAAUACAUGCAAGUCGAACGAGUUCUGAUUAUUGAAAGGUGCUUGCAUCUUGAUUUUAAUUUUGAACGAGUGGCGGACGGGUGAGUAACACGUGGGUAACCUGCCCUUAAGUGGGGGAUAACAUUUGGAAACAGAUGCUAAUACCGCAUAAAUCCAAGAACCGCAUGGUUCUUGGCUGAAAGAUGGCGUAAGCUAUCGCUUUUGGAUGGACCCGCGGCGUAUUAGCUAGUUGGUGAGGUAACGGCUCACCAAGGCAAUGAUACGUAGCCGAACUGAGAGGUUGAUCGGCCACAUUGGGACUGAGACACGGCCCAAACUCCUACGGGAGGCAGCAGUAGGGAAUCUUCCACAAUGGACGCAAGUCUGAUGGAGCAACGCCGCGUGAGUGAAGAAGGCUUUCGGGUCGUAAAACUCUGUUGUUGGAGAAGAAUGGUCGGCAGAGUAACUGUUGUCGGCGUGACGGUAUCCAACCAGAAAGCCACGGCUAACUACGUGCCAGCAGCCGCGGUAAUACGUAGGUGGCAAGCGUUAUCCGGAUUUAUUGGGCGUAAAGCGAGCGCAGGCGGUUUUUUAAGUCUGAUGUGAAAGCCCUCGGCUUAACCGAGGAAGUGCAUCGGAAACUGGGAAACUUGAGUGCAGAAGAGGACAGUGGAACUCCAUGUGUAGCGGUGAAAUGCGUAGAUAUAUGGAAGAACACCAGUGGCGAAGGCGGCUGUCUGGUCUGUAACUGACGCUGAGGCUCGAAAGCAUGGGUAGCGAACAGGAUUAGAUACCCUGGUAGUCCAUGCCGUAAACGAUGAAUGCUAGGUGUUGGAGGGUUUCCGCCCUUCAGUGCCGCAGCUAACGCAUUAAGCAUUCCGCCUGGGGGGUACGACCGCAAGGUUGAAACUCAAAGGAAUUGACGGGGGCCCGCACAAGCGGUGGAGCAUGUGGUUUAAUUCGAAGCAACGCGAAGAACCUUACCAGGUCUUGACAUCUUUUGAUCACCUGAGAGAUCAGGUUUCCCCUUCGGGGGCAAAAUGACAGGUGGUGCAUGGUUGUCGUCAGCUCGUGUCGUGAGAUGUUGGGUUAAGUCCCGCAACGAGCGCAACCCUUAUGACUAGUUGCCAGCAUUUAGUUGGGCACUCUAGUAAGACUGCCGGUGACAAACCGGAGGAAGGUGGGGAUGACGUCAAAUCAUCAUGCCCCUUAUGACCUGGGCUACACACGUGCUACAAUGGAUGGUACAACGAGUUGCGAGACCGCGAGGUCAAGCUAAUCUCUUAAAGCCAUUCUCAGUUCGGACUGUAGGCUGCAACUCGCCUACACGAAGUCGGAAUCGCUAGUAAUCGCGGAUCAGCACGCCGCGGUGAAUACGUUCCCGGGCCUUGUACACACCGCCCGUCACACCAUGAGAGUUUGUAACACCCGAAGCCGGUGGCGUAACCCUUUUAGGGAGCGAGCCGUCUAAGGUGGGACAAAUGAUUAGGGU
This 1494-nucleotide ribosomal RNA is filed under the name uncultured organism. Its description in RNAcentral is "SSU rRNA". It matches the Rfam family "Bacterial small subunit ribosomal RNA". The record is from RNAcentral.